UGGAGCAAUUUGGAAACUCUAGUAGAAAACUCUUCACGUUGUGCUCUUCACACACAUCUGGAAGACUUACCAUAGAAGUACAAUUUCCCGAAUACAUACCUUGAAUUUUUAAUGGAAGAUCUGGCAAUGACUGCGGCCUCUUGCAACUAGACAGCUCAAGACACUCAAGUCGAGAAAGGUGACAGAUGCUUGAAGGCAAGCUUACAAAAUCAUUUCCAUUUAGAUUUAGAUGUUCCAAUGAGGGGAAGCCACUAAUGUCCCUGGGAAUUGCUCCUUCUGGUAAUUUACAGUAACUUUAAGUUCUCUCAAAAAGGGUAAAAGUUG
Molecule: unclassified non-coding RNA, 324 nt
Filed under: Hevea brasiliensis (rubber tree)
Lineage: Eukaryota; Viridiplantae; Streptophyta; Magnoliopsida; Malpighiales; Euphorbiaceae
Source: RNAcentral